Molecule: long non-coding RNA, 1660 nt
Filed under: Anser brachyrhynchus (Pink-footed goose)
Lineage: Eukaryota; Metazoa; Chordata; Aves; Anseriformes; Anatidae
Description: lncRNA (ENSABRG00000011393.1)
Source: RNAcentral
CAUGCAGUUUCCUAGAAAGCCGAAUGCUUACUAGUAAACACCAGUCCUCUGGAGUCCUCUGGACCAGGUCUAGAAGACAGAGGGACUUUAAAUCCAUACUUUGGGAGGCCUGAAAAUCACCUAGCUGGAGUGAAGAGACGGCAACAGGUCACCAAACGGGUGCAGCCAGCAGCAUCACUGCAGGAGGGGGGAGCCUGACCACCAAGCACAUCAGUUUUCACAGCAGUUUCUGACUUGCUGGCAGGAGGAAGGAGCAGCAGCGGUGGCUGGCGGUGCCCCUGAUGGAUGGCUGUGGCGAACUGCGGGACGGGCACGGCAGGGGAACCCCGCACCUCCAGGCAGGCUGCAAUGGAGGAGCUGGGCGAGAAAGGGUUUCAAAGCCUGCGUGAAGGGGAGGUAUCAGCUGGACCAGCCAGGAGCCUGGGGAGGUCAGCAACAAAAGCAGAGCCGAGGCAGCAGUUCCUCCCACUGCACCGGGGCAGCGAGGCAGGCAGAGGGCAGCCACUUCCAGGGAAACACCAGGGCUCUGCCUCGGCGUUUUGAGGUCAAAUACUUGUUUUCUUACUUUAAGGCUGCAGCAUUCCUAGAACAACGAGUUGCCCCAGACUCUGGACUAUUUGGAUUCCUCCAAACAAGUUGUCAAAGCUUCUCUUUGGAUCUUAUGGAGAAAAUUGAUGGUGCAAAUGGUAAAAUACACUAAUUUUAAACCAGCAAUCCCAAAACAUUCAGUGACCUUCAUGCUUGCAUUACUGCUCGUGUAGCACCGUACUUAUCACACUGUGGCCUGAACGUCUUGUUUCCCAUAAUAACUCAACACAGCGAUAUGUGGUCAGAGAGAAAUAUGACCCAGGACUGGCAGCAACUACAACACACAACCCUGGCACAUAGCUCCUUUCCUACCUCAUCCUUGGCAGCAUCACUGGUCACACAUGCUAGGUCGUUAGCCCCAGGGCUGCUGAAGCUGUUCCUUCACUUCUGAGCAGGUCCUCAGCUGAUGCCAGUUCAUAAAGCUCCAUAAAUGAAGCCUACUCACAACUGGAGCCAAUUCCCCUGCAUUGAACUAGGGGGUUAUUGUUAAUUAGGCUGAAUAGAUAUUAUGUGUCUGUUUGUAUGUUGUUAUUAUUAUUAUUAUUUAUUAUUUUAGAUUAUGGGAAAAAAAAAAAAAAGCAAAAGUAAGAAACCCAAGAGUGCACUCAAGCCAUGUAGAGCUUGGAUUGCACAAGGCAAGACUGUGGGAAUCACUGGCAGGGACAAGAACUGAGAGGAAGGGGCCCUGGGUUGCCUCCUCGGUGCUGCAGAGUCAUAGACAAGGCUCUUCUCACCGGCACAUGGACUUUCCGCUUCUCCCCUGGGGUGCGAUGCCUUCUAGUUCCCUUUGGGAGCAGAGCCCCCGGUGAGCUGCGUUUACGCCCCACCAACUACAGCCGGCUCCCGAUGAUGGGGUGUGGGGCGGUUCUAAUGUAAUGUAAAUCAUCAGCUGAAAGAGGGGAUUUAAAAACAAUUUAUUUUGUGGCUGGUACUUCAAAACACUUUACAAGUCAUAUCAAGAGGAUUUUUUAAAAUCUUUCUUUAUGAGUUGCUUUCUUUUCCAGAAUAGUAUCCUUGGAAAUGACCCAUUGGUUAAAAACAAAACAAUAAUAAAGCCCUGUGAAGAACAGCA